GUGCCAGCCGCCGCGGUAAUACGAGGGGUGCAAGCGUUGCUCGGAAUUAUUGGGCGUAAAGGGUAGGUAGGUGGUCUUAUUUGUCUGGGGUGAAAUCCUUGAGCUUAACUCAAGAAGUGCCCUAGAAACGGUAAGACUCGAGUUCUGGAGAGGGUCGUGGAAUUCCCGGUGUAGCGGUGAAAUGCGUAGAGAUCGGGAGGAACACCAGCGGCGAAGGCGGCGACCUGGACAGACACUGACACUCAACUACGAAAGCGUGGGGAGCAAACAGGAUUAGAAACCCCCGUAGUCC
RNAcentral lists this ribosomal RNA (292 nucleotides) under uncultured bacterium. RNAcentral describes it as "partial 16S ribosomal RNA". It matches the Rfam family "Bacterial small subunit ribosomal RNA", at positions 505 to 796 of the family's 1533-position model. The record is from RNAcentral.